CAGUGGCCCGAUUGGCUGGGGUGCGGCGUCCAUGGCUAGCCGAUGGGAUAGGGGCUUUGUACAGCUCAGAGCAAGGCGAGGCCCUCUCUCUGCAUCUGAGUGGUGGUGGCAGAAACGUGGUGGCAGCCAGGGAGGCAGGAUGUUCUCAAGGUCAUGCACCACCAGCCGGCCUGGCAGGGUGUCUAAGGCGUAAGCUAGCAGGGAAAUUGCAGUUCUCCAGUCACCGCAGGACGUUGGUGGAAAACACAUUGCGGAUUUAUGGCGAUUCCGAAUUUGAAGACCAAUUUCUGCCAGGCUCAACACAACUUCCCUGACAAGUGACCUUGGGGGUGGGCUCUAUGUGAGGUAUUCAACUGUGCCUCGAAGACUCUGGACACCGAGAGACUAUCCUCAGAAAUAACCGCAAGUAUACUUACUUUAAUGACUCUGAUAAAAAUCAAGCAUCAAGUAAACAAAAGUGGAAGACUACCACCACUGUUGUCUCACUUGUGUCUAAAUGUAGUAGGCUCGGUGGGUAAAUUCGGUAUGUAUCUGGACGGUUUUGAGAUCUGAAGGUACCCAUCUGCAGACACUGAGGGCCAGGCUGAAUUCAAGCAAAUUCUAAAUAGUUUCUGCCUAUCUUGGAGAAGCUUCAUACUGAGUAAACAAGCUGAAUAAAGAAAAUAAAAAACAAUAAUAGACCUUUUGUUGAGCUUAAUGUUCUCACUUUUCAACCAGGAAGGCAGGCACUCACGCACGCACACUCUGAUUUGCCAUAAUGAAUCAUGUAGCCCCAGUGGAGAUCUGCUACGAAAACAUGCGUUUUCUGAUAACUCACAGCCCCACCAACAAUACGAUGCACAAGUUCACAGAGGAACUUAAGAACUACAGAGUGACAACAUUAGUUAGAGUCUGUGAUGCCACAUACGAUAAAACUGUAGUUGAAAACAGUGGCAUCCAUGUUCUAGACCUGCCAUACAACGAUGGAGCCCCGCCCCCUGAUGAGAUAGUAGAUAACUGGCUAGACUUGCUAAAAACCAAAUUCCGUGAGGAGCCUGGUUCCUGUGUGGCAGUGCACUGUGUGGCUGGUCUAGGAAGGGCACCUGUGCUGGUGGCACUUGCUUUGAUCGAAUGUGGAAUGAAGAAUGAAGACGCAGUUCACUUUAUCCGGCAGAAACGAAGGGGAGCUUUCAAUACCAAACAGCUGCUUUUUUUGGAGAACUACAGGCCCAAGAUGAGGACCCGGUCACGAUCACGUUUCAAAGAUUCCACGGUGCACUGCUGCAUCCAGUAGGAUAUAAGCUGAAGGCUUUCUCUACUAUGACUUUGUAAGUAAACUCGUUGUAUCUGGAAUGCGCAUCUGGAAUCUUUCCUGUGCCACCAACGAGUAGUUGAUUCAACUAAUUGGUGCUGUAGCAAACAACAGAGAAAUGAUUAUAUAAAGUGAAUUAAGAUAAAAAUUAGAAGAAAAAACUAGCAUACAUUUCAGAGCAAAGACAGAGAAAACCUGGUCCUUGGCUCUCUCUCCUGCACUCUUGAGCACGGUCCCAUCAUCAGCCAUGUUGUGACACAACCAAGAGGCUUCACAAGAGGUUGCAAGCUCAUGGAAUCUUAGGCUUUCAUUCUCACAACUAUCAUCAAAAGAAAUCUCUUGAUUAAUCACCUAGCCUCGGACAUUUUAUCAUAACGGGAAAAAAUAAAGUUGAUGUUUGGCAACUCA
Mastomys coucha (southern multimammate mouse) is the source of this 1699-nucleotide RNA transcript. It is a transcript of the gene named protein tyrosine phosphatase type IVA 2 pseudogene, with no coding region annotated. NCBI's taxonomy places the organism in Eukaryota, Metazoa, Chordata, Mammalia, Rodentia, Muridae. The record is from RefSeq and is a predicted model, not a curated record. The transcript has a single exon.